This 444-nucleotide long non-coding RNA is filed under the name Oryza brachyantha (malo sina). Its description in RNAcentral is "long non-coding RNA (OBRA_LNC001686)". The record is from RNAcentral. Lineage: Eukaryota; Viridiplantae; Streptophyta; Magnoliopsida; Poales; Poaceae.
CUGGCUUCACUUGUUGGUUUCUAUUAUUUUAUAUGUUUUUCUGUUAUUGAUUUUGCAUCAUGCUCUUGACUGUAUGCGGUGAGGUUAUCUUUUCUAGGUAUUCUCUACCUGUGGCGGUGUCUUGAGAAUUCCAAGGUAGAUUACAAAUCAUACAUGCUUAUCAUUACAACCCCGUCACUGCACAUAGGAAAUUUAAUUUAGUAGAAUCUAAACAAUUGGCCAAACAAUCCUGGCAUGUUGCGGACCUACAAUUCUUCAGUGGGAAGACUCGAGAACAAGAUGUGACAAACGUGGCGUAAAUAGUUGAAAUGUAUUGUAACAUGUUCCUCGGACCGUUCAUGUUACCUCCGAUGCCUAUAUGAGCAUACUUGGGCAGAAGCGUGUCCCUCACUAUAAAAUCCUAAAAAGAGUAGCCAACAAAGUGCAAGUGUGAUAUGAUACAAG